UAAAGGAUCAUAGAUUUUUAUUCAUGUAGAUAGGCUAAAAUGGGAGAAAAGCACAUAGUUUUUAGUUUUUUUUUUUUCUUAAAUCCUUUCUGUAUUAGGCUUUUCUGUCUAGGUCAGCUCUGAAAACUGAGUGGAUUGGUAAGUGGAAAGUUACACAGCCAGUGUCCCACCCCUCUCUUAAGCGUGUCCCAGGAAGCCCUGCACUAGCUCAUGUUGGUGGAUCCUUUUACUCUUUAGAAAGAAUGGCAUCCUUUCCCCUGUUGCUCUGGGCUCAGUAACUUGGUUCACAAACUUAAUGGAAACAUUUGCAUUUCUGAUAAAUGAACCUUGCCCAGACACUUGCCCCUCUAGGAUUACUAGGAGGACUUGCGGCAUUGUAUGAGUCGUCCCCCCCCCCCCCAUCUCUUUGCUAGUAUGUUUCAACUGAAAUUGCACAAGAAUUUUGUAACAUGUGAACUCUGUGUUUGCAACAGGAUAACUUCCCUGCAAGAAUGUUAACUGUUGUUUGCUCUACUUAGUAUCUCUGCCUAGCAGCUCAGUUAAACAAUCAGAAUUUGCAGGUAGAAACAGGUGGAUCUCCAGCUCAAGACUAGCCUAGCUUACUUAUAGUGAGCUCCCGCCCAAUCAGGGCUCCUUAUUGAGAACUUUUCUCAAAAAUGAAGGAAAACAGACAAACAAAAGAACGGAAGGAGGAGGGAAGGAGGGAGAGAAAAGAAAAGGAAGAAGGAAAGGAGUUUGUAUAAAUUGUUUAUAUUAAUUCCUUGGACAUUGUAAUGGUGUUCCACUUUAGUAUUCAUUCUGCUCAUUAAAAAUCUUUUUAUUUUUAAUAAUAAAAGCUUAUUGAAUGCUAAAAUCACUGUAACUUUUUAAGUAAGCACUGUCUGUUCCUGGGUUCACAGAGCAAUGCCGGUGACAUUAAGAAUGUCUCCAACAUGACACAGCUAUAUUUUCUGGAUGCAGAGUAGAGACAGCUGGGAGUGACCUUCUGCCAGUCCCCGUGCCUCGGGAGAGCAAAGUCAACCUGUGCUCUUUGGUGCUGUGUGCUGAUCAGGAGCAAGCAGUUGGCCUGGGUUUGCAAGUUCCUCCCGAGCUUCAAAGAGGAGUUUGUAACCAUCUACCCAUGCUGUGGGGAACCUUCCAGGAGUGAACCACAAGGGAUGGACAACACAGAAGGUUCAGCUCUAUGCAUGUAACUGGCAUUCCACUCCCUGCCCUUCCUGUCCAGCCGCUUCUUAAACAUGACUGAUUCACCAGCCACUUGCCUCCAUGAUCGGUUCCUUCUUUCAGUUUGAACCACCACCUGCUUGACUCAGCAGCAGCGAUCCACAGCAAGCAUCCUCUGGGAGGCGGUGAUGUCAUCCUGUGUCAUCACCCAUCUCACCACCAUACUGGAGUUCUCCAAGGUCCUGAACCCAGAACUGCUUCUCCAGCCUUGGUGUUUAAGGAACACAGUUCAAGCGGUCAGACACUCUCCAGGAAUUGAAUAUCUGCACCCACACUGCACCCACUUAACUGAUGUGGGAGUGUCAUAUCAAUCUGUUGAUUUCAUUGGCUGAGCAAUAAAGAAACUGCUGGCCCUGAUAGGUUAAAAGAUAGGUGGGUGGAAUAAACAGAAUAGAAUUCUGGGCAGAAGAGGAAGUGAGGUCAGACUCUGCGCUGCUUCCAGAGGGACCGGACAGCCGCCAUGCUCUGCUCUCCCAGGCAGCUGCAACCCACGAUGGACUUAGGCUAGAAUCUUCCCGGUAAGCGCACCUUGGGGUGCUUACACACAUCAUUAGAAAUGGGCUAGUCCAGGUGCGAGAAUUAGCCUGUAAGGGCUAGAGUUCAUGGGCCAAGCAGUUCUUAAAUGAAUACAGUUUGUGUGUUGUUAUUUCGGGCAUGAGCUAGCCAAGCGGCUGGGGUGUUGGGGACGCAGCCCCGCCACUCCUAUUGCAACACUUAACUGUGGGAGCUUCCUGACAAGGCAGGCAGAUUGGGGUUCUGCUUGCCACCUGCCAUCCUGAAUCUAUCUGCCUGUGGGGGAUGCUGCUCCAGCCUGUGUAAUGACCUAUAGAGGCUGCACAUGCACAGGACACUUGUUUUUCUUUAUUUUCCUGAAGUUAUAUAUCACUGCCUUUAGUAUUUAUUUUAAAGUUAGAAACAGUAAGGUUCUAUACAUUUUGUUUAUAUAUCGCAUCAUUCCCCAAGGACAGAUUUCGGCCCCGCAGGAGUGAUGAUCGCCAGGUCCCAAGCAGCAGAGAAUGUCCAUACACUGCUGAAUGGCUUCCAAAAAUAUCUGUCCCAACUGUGUGUGAGAACACCCCCCUCUCCACUCUUCUCACUGCAAGGCUCCAGUGG
Molecule: long non-coding RNA, 2337 nt
Organism: Alexandromys fortis (reed vole)
Lineage: Eukaryota; Metazoa; Chordata; Mammalia; Rodentia; Cricetidae
Exons: 3
Source: RefSeq, a predicted model, not a curated record